Molecule: long non-coding RNA, 2858 nt
Organism: Apis mellifera (honey bee)
Lineage: Eukaryota; Metazoa; Arthropoda; Insecta; Hymenoptera; Apidae
Exons: 6
Source: RefSeq, a predicted model, not a curated record
CGGUGGAGAAGCGGACGCGUCGUCGAUCCGGUCGACGAGGGUCGCUGAAGUGGACUGGCUAGGUGGAGUGGACUGGCGGAAAGGCGGCACGGUCGAAGGCAGCACACGCAGGUUCGCUACUUUCGUUUGGACGAGUUUCCAAUGCCGUUAAUACGUUCGAACGACACGAGAGAUAUCGAGGCGAGGUGUUUUCUUCUCUCGAGACGAAUAGUUGAACCUGACGUUUCAUUUCAAGCGUCACGUUUAUAGCGUUUCAAAAGUCGAUCCUCUUGUCGCUCAAACAUCCACAGUCACAACAAUCCGGCGGGUGGUUGCCGAUGGACGGACAGCUGUCCAUCCGGACAAGAGGGAUGCCAUGCCAAAGAGGUAGGCAUAUUGGCAGGCGGACGGGAGAGGAAAAAAGGAGGGAGGGGAGGGGAGCCGGUCGACCGAAGGUUUGUGUCAGAUGCGGUCGCGAUAUCGGCGGCCCCCGCCGUCCCCCCGCCUCGAAGCCCCGUGUACCUGUCAUUUUCGGUGACCGUGUCAUUCAGAGACUGUAUUCCCUUCCACGAGGGAUUCCUCGUGCGGAGGAACGAAGAGAGAUAGCCGAGGCGAAGCUAGGAGAUAAGGAUAGCCUGGGAUACCUGACGAGAGGCCAUCGAUGCGAGCGACGAGCCAAUAACGAUGCGUCGUAUUCUCUGCCGCUGGAAAUGUAAAAGUUUUUACGUUGAACGGAUGAGAAAAAUCGAUUCGUCGAUUCUCUCUUACGUUUGAUUUUUAGGAGGAAGGAAAAGGAUGGUUUUGGGAGCGAGAGAGAGAGAGAGAGAAAAUUGAAGAGGAAGAUACGUAUCCCCAUCGAGGAGAUGUUAAUUAAUGCGCGCCAGAAGAAAGCAGUCCUCCGAGAUAGAUAAUGAUCCGGUUUUCGAGCUAUGGGCCCGUGAUGAUGAUGAGGAUGAUGAGGAUGACGACGAUUCGGAAAGUCAUCGUCGCGUCCGUCGCGCCCUUCUUUACCUACAGAGUUCGUCGAAUCUUAUCAAAUUUCGACGAGCCAGUUUGUUGUGAAACCGAUACGCGAUCCGUAUGAAAUUUUUAAUGCGUGGAAAAUUGUCGAAAGUGUCAGCGAUCAAAAAUUAUUGUUAUUCGAGAAGAUGUUUCAUUGUUUCUAUCGUUAUCGAAAAUUGGAGCGGCGAGUCUGACCCAUUUUGCGCGAAACAACGAUGAAAGAGAGGAAACGAGAGGACUGGAAAUGGAAGCGUUCCGUGGCAGUUUGUUGGAGCACUUGGAGCAACAGAAGCAAUAGCAGCAAUGGCCAUUCCGACGGUGGCGGCGGCGGCGGCGGCGGCAGCAACGGCAGCUUUAGCGGACGGCCGGCGAUCAUCCAUCACGAAGGUGUCAGCCUCCCCCUCCGGCCAGAAACAACUAGCUAUGACAUUCUUCGCGCUGCCACUGCUUCCUUUUUGCCUUUUACCACUCUCCAUCCUCUCCUCUCCUCCUUUCUUUUUCAUUUCCCUUUGCUUUGCUGUCCCUCCCCCCCCUCCCUCUCUUUUUUCCUCACCAUUUUCCUCGGGACGAGAAGAGAGAAUUUCGAGCGAAUCGAGUGGAAGAGGAAUUUUCUAUGAAAGAGGAGAAUAAUGAUGAAAGAGAUUCGAAUUGAAAAGGAAUAUUUGAUAACAAUUUGUAAAAAGAUUCUCUUUUUCUAAAUUUUAUCACUCGUGUAAAAUAAACACGGUCGAUAAACACACUUUUAUCCAUUAUGGUCGGAAAAAUUUUCUGAUAUUUUUAUUUUCAAUAGUGGAUUAUUUGUUUUUAACUUAAUCAAGACCAAAAUGGGGAAUAGGAGGGUGAAAAUACCACUGGAGGGGAAAACACGCCACACGGGUUUUCUUCUCGGCCGAGGGUCGCAACGGUAAUGUUUUAAUUAAGACAAACGCGGUCGUUGGUUAAAUAUGGUAACGACUUCUGUCCGACAAUGGGAAUCAAUCAUGCACGCGUGUGCUGAUCGUCAGCCGAUAAAAAAGCGCGGCCACGAGCAAGCCGCGUUUCCAACGAAAAAACUCUUGUUAGUUAUACGUCCGUUGCGAAUUGGAAUUUCUGCCGACCGUUUAACGAAUAAAUAUUUUACGACGAAAAACAAAUCUUUCCUCUUCGAAGAGAUCGAUUUGUCCAAGAUUUAUCCAUCCACUCUCGUUUCGAUAUCUAAUUUCAAAUAUUUCAAGAGAUCGAAAGAGAUGGAAAGAAUAGUUUCUUCGGUGUGGAUUGGAGAAAUGGAAGGAGUAUGUUUUUCUGAGAGAGAGAGAAAGAGAGAGAGAGAGAGAGAGAGAGAGGAAGGAUUUGAGUGUAAGUCGGGGAAAAAGGGGCUGUUGACAAGGAACGGCAGUUGUGAAGUUUUUCGGGGGUACGGGUAGGGUAACGUACAAUUCUAUUUGUUGGAUGAUUGUACCGCUGCGAAAUCAAGUCUGACGAAGAUCGAUCGGACGGUAUUUCGGGCGUCAACACACGGGAUCGUCGGUUCCCCUGUUCAAUCCAACUAAGGUCGGGGUCCGACGUCACUCUCUCGCAGAUGCUGCCAAUCCUGGCUAAAGUUUCUAUUAAGAAAUUCCAUUUAAUGAAAACGCGUUCCAGGGUUCGGGCGUUUAACGCGAGAAGGCACAAUGCUGCCUUGAUUUCGGACUUGUAUUGAAAAGAAGGAAAGAACGGAUAUAUACGGAAUGGACGUUGCAGAAUUGGAUGCAAUGUACUGGUCGAUACGUAUACAAGUUUGUAUAAUUGUUUGGUAAAAUUGUUUUUAAGAUUGUGGAGAUUUAGGGAGACGUUUCUAGUAAUUAGAAAUUAUGUUAUUUGUUUAUAUAAUAGGAAUAUCAAAUGAAUAUUAAUUAUAA